Long non-coding RNA from Gallus gallus (chicken), 9728 nucleotides. RefSeq lists it as uncharacterized. The transcript is spliced from 3 exons. The record is from RefSeq and is a predicted model, not a curated record. Lineage: Eukaryota; Metazoa; Chordata; Aves; Galliformes; Phasianidae.
GCUCGCCUGCAGUCAGUCCACAAUCAAAACCAGAUCGGUACACAACCAAAAACAGAACCUAAGCCAUCUGCGGGAUCUGACAUUAAACCUACAGGUGAAGAUUUUCUUUGUCAGAAAUGAGGAUUUACACCCUCUCAACUAUUAAUCAAGAAUCAUAGGAAAUCCAACAUCAAUUACUUCCAACACCUGAACAGCACCACUGCCUACCAGCAGACUCACAGGGCUUCAUGGACUCCGCCUGGAAGCAGAGCUCUGGAUGGGACUGGAACCAGAACAUGGAACAGGACACAUCCCUAUCUUGAGACAUUUUUAAACCACAGCAGAGACCAGGAGGCACUGGAAAGUUUCCCCCUCUCCCUGAUAAUUUUGCAGAACUGGUGCCCUGUGGAAAAACCUCCACUGAAUGAGAAAGAGGACAUACAGCAGAGACAGAUUUUUUAACUUCAUCACACGUGUGAAGGAGCACGUGUCCCAGAGAAUUCCUUCAGAUGCCAGUCCUCCAAAUAAGCAUGAAAGCAGCAGGCGUUGAGCCUGAAGGCACUGAGAGAAUCAGUAGCGUGCCCUCCAAAUACUAAUUCAGGAGCAGGCACUCCACCAGAUGUAUUCCUUUAGGCCUAAAGUCACCUUUCAGCUGCUGCUUUACUGAAGGAGCAGUUACAUCUUGGUGCUGCAGCAACCCCCAAGUAACUCUCAGAAAUAGCCGUAAUGAGAAAUAAGAGAACAAAAUUGGUCAGAAAAUCAGCUGUAACAGCUAGUAUUAAGGCAGAUACAGAGGAUAUGCAAUGCAAGAGAAAGAGUCUUUUGAGUUUAUAUCUGAUUUCAGUAUCAAAUAUGAAGUCAGUAAUCUCCAUCAUCAUUUUCAAAUGUCUUUUUCUGUGUCUUUUCCACAAAGUGAAACAAAUCCCUGCAGACUUAGCACAAACAACUUUCAGAAGAGACUUGUUCCACAUAAAGCCCUCUGAUGGGACUAUAAACACAGCCAGUUCCUGUGGAGAGACUGAAAGGAGAACUGACUAUGCAAAACUCAGCUGUUGACCCAUUAUGCAAAAAUAUUUUAAUGGCCGUGGAGCCUUUCUUCUUAAGAGUUUCAUUUCUAUUUAAUGUGAAAUUAGCAAUGGGUUGCUUGUGACAGGAACACAUUGACAUUGGUUAGAAACUAAGCCAAUCAAAUCAAUAACUGGUAGUGUUAAAAUCUGCCACCCAUAAAACAAGGAACGAGUUGUACUGUGCAUGAAAGGAGCGGUAGAAUUGAACCUUUAGAACUCUUUUUUUGCCCUGACUCUCUCUGCUCUACUUCAGCUGUCAUUAAGUACAUGAAACUGAGGCUGUUAAGACUGCAUGGUAUCUCUCAGAAAACUCUCACCUCUGGACAAAGUGAAAAUGGACUAUUUCUAGUUGAGCUGACACUUUGAUUUUGACCUUUAGAUUUCAUUUUGCAUUUCUUCUAUUGAAGUACGGUGCUUACAGCUUCUUUGUGUUGCUAACAUCUUUAUAUGCUAAGCUGUACAUACCAGGUUUCUCACAUGGAAAUUGAGGAGAUGCCAUACAUAUAAGAUAUCAUGUUUAACUCUCUGGAAAAAAAACAAACUCCAGAAAAAUAACACCUUUAGUGGACUGAGUGAAGUCUCUGGAGUUAAGUGAACAGAGAUGAAUAUGGGAAAUCUGAAAGACAGAAAAGGGGAGAAGAACAAGAGAUGUCACCAAACCUAUAUUUAAAGAGCCACCUCAGAUGGUCUUUGAGAUAAUAAUGGUACUGCAGGUGCAAAGACUAAAUAAAACCAGGUAAAAGCUCUGCAUUUGUAUUAAACAGUUCAUAAAACUCACACAAUGAAAUGUAGAGGGUGCAGGUCUAGUGUUAUUGCAAACAAGCAAAAAAUAGAGAAAAUAAUGGAAAAAAAAAAUAGAAACAUGGAGCUAUAUUGUAACAUCAUGCCUUCAUAAUGAUACGGAAAGACAGCUUCCAGUAAUGAGUUCUCAGACAGACUGGAUGCCACAGAGUAUCUUCCAACAGCACACUGUCCAGAAAGACUUCUAUAGCAGCAAUGGAACUUUCCUUUCUAACAACUACAAUGACUUCAUGAGACAGAAGAUAUCUGUGGAGAUUCAGGAACUCACCAAACAGUAUAUUUGGCCUGGACAGUCUGAAUUAGGAGUGAAAUAGGAUCCUAAUUCAGACUGGAAGGAAUUGCUUUACUGUGAAAAGAUGUUCCUUAUAGUCUGUCUCUCUUGUUUCAACCUCUUGCCAUGUCUUUUGGCAUUGGCUCUGCCUUAUUUAACUUCAUCAUCUCUAAGCAAGCUCUUUUUGCACCUCUAUCUCUCAGGAAAAAAAUAGCUCUCCUCAAAGGACCUAUCACAAAGACGUGUUAUUGCACUGGCUGACACGAUUUUUGACACUGCUUAUUCUUCCCUUACCUAGGAAGGGAACUGAGACUAAACAGCCCCAUUUUCUCAGCUAAAGAUAGAUUACAGAAUGUUCAACCUUUUUAUUUCCUUUGAACUCAUUUUCUCAACUGAUUAGUAAAAAAUAAAUGAAGGGAAAAUCAGUUCUAGGAAGUGGGUCACUAUUUACAUUGCUUGCCCAUAAGUACAUAUUUGUGAAGACUGACAAGAAAAUGAUACCACUCAGCAAGUUUUUUGUUUAGUUACUUUUACUCUGUACCAUCUUCACUGGUUUGACUUUCAUACAGAUCAGUAAAUUUCCUAAUAGUACCUAUUAACAGCACACAAAAAAAAUCUCUUUACCUCUUUUCCUCAUUUUUGUUUCAACAAAGAGAAUGAUGCUGAAGUGUGUAAGUGCAUUACGAUUUGUCAAAGCACCUCCCAAUGUCAGUUAGAGAAGCAAAAGGAUUCCUCUCAUUUGCACUGUAAACACUGAGUAUAUUGGAAUUGACACUGAUUAAUUAGAUUCAAUAGGCUGAACAGAAGCAAAUAGUAUUUAAAAGAACAGGGUGAUCAGUAAAACCAAACAGUUUGUAAACAACUCACUUUGAGCUUGAAAAUUCAAAUUCAUCCAAAUUUAGCAAAAAUGAACCACUAAGACACUGCUCAUCAAACAGGAGUAUCUCUCAGACAGUAAGAAAAAUGAAGCUGAAAUAGCAUGGAUAUUAUUAUUUUUUUGUGCUUUAACAAUUGCAUCAAUGAGGUAAAUUUCUUACAUUUUAUACAGCUUGAGAACUGCAUUAGAAAAUAUCAACAAAAUUUAAACCUCCAAACCAAAAUCAUCUUUUCUACUCGUUUCAGAAUCUCUACCUAAUGGAUUAUCAGAUACUGUCAGAAUGUUACAAUCAAUGACAAUUGUUAAUCAGGCUGUUCUCCACUUUCAAGCAUUUUCUGUAUUUUUACAGAUCUUGAUCAUAGGCAAAACUUUCAAAAAGACUAUUGAUUUAUAAAUCAUAGUUUAUUUAAAAAGGGGUCUGAAUUAAUUGCCCAUUUACCUCUAACAUUAAAAUUACAGAUUGAUAUAGAUGAUUUUUUUUUAUAUUACUGUCUUGACCAUACUUUUGCUGGGUACAUUGAUUUGGAACAAAUAUGUCUUCCUAGAAAGCAGCCUCUGUUCGCUGCAUACAGUAUCUUAUCUUUGCUGGAGAGCUGUCUUUGAACUGAUGUACUCAUACAAAGUAAGAUCUAAUGUCAGACGAUGCUUGCAACUUAAUUACGUUUGAGCUUAGAAUACUUUUUUUGUGGUUCAGUGACAAAACUGUAAAUGCACACUUUGAACAAAAUCCUUAAGUAGUUAAACCACAUUAUAAAGUAGCACCAUUUGGCUGAAGAAUCAAAACCAUACAAAUAAAUAAUGAUGUACGUAUGUCUGAGCAGGCUGUGCAUGUGAAGGAAAGAUGAAUCACUUUGCUUUUUUUAAUGUUGGCCUUGUGAUAGCUGAGCAAUGCAAUUAUCUUCUUUUGCAUUGUGCUAGCUUUAUCUCAUUGGUAUUAGAUUUUUAUUUCUUCCAUAUCCUUAUUUCUACAGUGAGUGAAGUGCAACACUCCAAGAAGUAAGGCACUGCUACGAUAGAUAUCAUUCAGGCUUCACACAAAGAUUCACUAUUAGAAAGAUUAAAAAAAAAAACAGCCAAAGGCAGAAGGGGGGAGCCUCAUUAUUAUGCGGUAUUAUGAUUAAUAACUGUUCCUACCAAACAGUUUUAGAUUGGGUUAAUUUACCUUAAUUUAAAAUAAAGGACGGAGAACAAACAAGAAAAUCAUUUCAAGCAGCCCAAAGGGUAUACUGAAUACAUAGGAUGUGCUAAGAAAUGUAUGUAAAACUAGAAAUAUGCCAGGGGAUUUUGUUCCUUAUUCCAAGUAAAAUAAAAUACCAGAAUUGACUAUUGACAUUUUUUCUUUUCACCUACAUCAUGACAAGAAUUAACAGGACAUCAGUAAGCUAUCUUUCAGUGAAAAGGUUUUGAUGAGAUCUCUGUAAAGCAGCUUAAAUGGGGUAACUCCUAAGGAGUCAUUCUAGAAUGUGUUUCUCUUGAAGAUCAAGCCCUUAAAAAGGCUUGCUCAUCAUUAAGAGAUUCACAGGAAUCAAAUCAAAACAAAACAAAACAAAGUGCUCCUUAUACAAGAGCAGGCAAAAAGCAAGGCAGUCAUAUUCUCCACUAGUUUGGAAGUUGGGAUUCAAAUGAUUAAUACGACUAUCUACCAGAUAUUGUCCAGGACUCUGUAAAGCAAAUAUUUAAAGCUAGUGCAAAAAAUCUCAGCUGUUAUGAUAGCUGUCUAGGCUGUCUGACUGUCUAGGCUGACUCAGCAGACAGACGAGCAGCAACUUGACAAUAGUGCAUGUGUAUAUGCCUAAAAGAGUAAAAUAGUCUGGCUUCCAGACCAUCUCCAUUGCCUAGCCAAAAUGACGUAGGCCUUGCUUGGGUUGCCCUUUAGCCUCCCAAUGCAGCAGACUUGACCGGACUUUCACGAACUACUCAGCUGGAACACAGGUGCCACAUACACAACGUCUACGCAUGAUGACUCAGUGCAUGCUGAGGGCCCUUCAGCAGUCAAAAACAGCAGACCAAAUCCAGGUUUCGUUACUUAUUUUGUAGCUCAGAGGCACUUCCAUCAAUUCCUAAGAGCUGUAACAACAUCUAAAAGUAACUCUGGGCCACUGACUAAAUUAUUCUGUGCAGCAGCAGAUAUUCUGCAGAUAAUACUGCAGAAUGAGUCAUACAAAGACAUUUAUGAACAUGAAAAUUUAGAUAUUUUUUAAGAACAUGACAUCAUUUUGAUCUGAACAUUAAAUUCUGAACUCUUCUGGAGAAAAGCAGAUUACUUUUUACAUAAAAGAACUCUAGGAAUACACAAUUCCCUGAGGCAGCCAAUUUUGCACAAACAGCAACUUUCUCACAUGACUGUGAAAGGUAAGCAAUCAAGUGGCAACGUUAUAUGAGUAGAAGGAUGAACAGACAUCCACACAAAAUCUAUUAAACCUAAAACCACUAGGAUCCACGUUCAAGGCACUCAGAAGUCAAAAUCAGAAGCAUUUCUAAUGACAGGCACAUGUAAUAGGAUCUGUGUGGUGAAGCAAUGCAUAGUUGCGGCCAGAUUUAGAGCCAGAUCAUCACUUUAGAAAUAUCAAUAUCUGGAUAAGGUCCAAGUUCCUUCCUCAUCAAAGCAGUUUGACUCCUGAAAUAAUAACCUCAGCUUGUGGAGACAAAGUCCUGAUCAAUAAUGAAUCUUAAGAUGUCUCUGCGAUCUUCUGCCUUCUCAGAUGUGAAUUAGUACUGACACCCUUCUGGCACUCUGCCUGCAACAGCUGCUCGCAGAAUGUUGAGUGGCAAACGUGGGCUGGUAAAAAUUGAAUACAAAUAUGAUAUUUGGAGUAUGAUUUAUCAGAAAAACAGUAAAACGUGGCUAUUAGAAAACCUUAGAGAAACACCUGAUUGCACUUGUUAAUUUUCUGCGAUGACAUGCAGCUUGACACAAAUAUGGUGAGAUCCCUAUAAAAACAAGAAGACUUCAGUCCUUCAAACCAACUUCCCCAAGUUGUGGAGCCAAAGGACAAUCAUCAGUCUUUUUAAGUUUUGCAUGGAUUUCCAUGUAGCCUGCUCACCAAACCUCUAACUGAAUGCAUUAUAUUUUGCUUGUUUGUUUAUUUAACAGAACACCAUAGCCAUGGGCCACAUAUCAAAGCUAGGUGACUUGUAGCUAGAGAAGCACAGUUCUAAAUUGUGCACGUUGCAUUCUGUCAGCUCAAAUUCCUACUGUUUUGUCUCUCACGUUAACCGAGCAUUCAUCAAGAAAGUCCCUGGAAGACUUUUGGAAAACAAGAAUUGUUUUACUAGAUUAGGCACCUGACCCAUUUAAUCCUGUGAAGACUUAAGAAACCAGGCAUUUGUAAGCACCAGGUUAGGUUUCAUUCUGAUUUUCAGUUUAACUCAGAGAUUGACUUAAGUCCUAAACUUCAGGUUUUGUUCCUCAUUCUGUAUUUUAUUGUCAUAUAUUUGGACAAGAAUUAGAGCUUUAUUAUCACUGCAUCCUUAAAAUGUAUUUCACAUGAGAAAGAAGGAUCACUUUAAAUGAAUCACUGCCUGGGUUUCCUCUAUGAUGAAGCUCUAUACUAUAUCCACAAGCACGCUGACACAAAUAUAGAAUUCUCCAUGCUUUAGGAAAUCUGUUUCACAGGUAGUCUAUUAGAAAUGAGUCUCCAAACAAACAUCUUGUACAUUUAAUGUAACUUCUAUUGGUUUUGUGUUUAAAUAAAUGUUAAAUUAAAAAUAUUCAUACCCACUACUUGUAUAGAAAUGCAAGUAUUGCAAGUUAGCACUAGAACAGACACCCCUGCAGGACAGAGUGAAAACUCCUCAAAGAUCACAAAUGCUCACUUGAACACCCGCUGAUGUUGGUGGCAUAACCGUAUGUGAAACUUCUGACUGAAUCAGGCCCUCACACUGCUUCAAGCCAUUUUUCACCUGGACUUCCAGAGACAUCACUGCCAUUCUACUCACAAGUCCUGCACUGUAUGUUUGCAUGGAUAGUGUUUCAUACAUACAUGUAUGAUAGACUCAGACUCCAGAGGCUGGAAAAAUGCAUUUUACUUGUAGCAUUCCAAAUCUUCCUUCCCUGGAGCACACAUACAUCUAUCAAAUUCUAGAAACCUCAACUCUACAGCACUGCAGCAGAAAUUAUCUAGUAUUUUCACAAUAAGGACUUCAGGCUUCUGAAUACAUGUUUAGAUGCUUUAAGAAAUGACCUGAUUUUUAAAAGCAGUGAGACUCAGGUGACUUCGAUGGAUUUAGAGUGAGGCUCCUAAUAAAGCUGGGAAAAAAAAACAGCCUGACCUGUUCCCUUUGUGGUUGGUGUAAGUGUUACUGUUGAGCUCAGUGGAGCUCAGUUGCUAAUUUUUAGACUUGUUUUUGACAAACAGGUAAUCACAGGAACUAAAUGAAAGAAUACUCAAGGAAGAGGGCAAGGUUUUGAGAACACCACAAAUAAAAUGUACUCUCCAUUUCUGAGUGUUUACUUGCUUGAUAGAAUAACAGGUGCACAGGAAAUAGGAUAUAAGAAAGACACUUUCUUGUAACAAAAUAGUUUUAAUUGUGCCAUAUUUCCUAUGUGCCUUCUCUCAUGCCUGAGCCUUGAGAGGGAAAAUGCUACUUCUGUCAUUAAAAAAAUGAAAAUGGAAGGUGUAUAUUAAUACAACACUGGCAAGAUUAUGGCAGAGCAAACAGAGAAAGCAAAUAACCUACUUUUAAAGUAUGAAACAUGGAAGAUUAUUAAACAGUAAAACUGUUUCAUUUAGUAAAAACAUAUUUUAUUAAUCUUUUAAUUACAUAAAUUCUACACCUAGUUUUUCUGUAUGGCAUCACAUCUUUGACACCACCAAAUGUGAAAGAUUUUAUCAUUUAAAGCAACAAACUGGAGGAACUACAGUAAACCAAAUUCUCUCUGUUUGUAUUUAAUUUUCAGUUCAUUUGUUGGUUAUUGGUAGGAUCUUCUCAAAUGUAUUAUAUUUUAUUUUUUUGGUAUUUUCUGUUUUCCUCUUAUGAUUCAGUCUCUUCUUGUUGCAGCUGAUGCACUUUUCAGAGUUUUAUUUAUAAUUACCAAAUUCAGAAUGAAAACGAAAGCCAUUUAAUUAUGUAAUUGUCUUAGAGACAGCAUGGCAAUUAAAGCCCCCAGAAAAGCAGCCUAGAGGCGUUGGUUGUGCAAAAAGGUAGAGAAAACUUAAUAUGGGCAUCUCAAAAAAUGACUAAAUAAAAUACUGUAGGCUAUUACACAUGCAUCUCUGAACAGAUGCCCUUAAGAACUGUAUACCUUAAUCAACAUAAAAUAGCAUAUUUACAUACCAAGCAUGUGCAGCAAGACAGGCCACUAUAAAUCAGCUAUUCAGAUGUUAUCAAGGAGACUGAAGCUGUAUACAACAUUACAAGAAAUAGGGUUGAAGAUGAAAAUAAGAUGCACAAAGAUUAAGAAAGCAAUUAGAAAUACAUGUGGGAACAGACUGCAAGAAAAACAGUUAAAGAGUUUACUAAAUAAUGAAUAAAAGAUGGAGAUGUCCCUGUUGAAGGACAAAUUUAAAAAGCUAUUUUGUGUUGUGAUAAAUCUGCAAAAGUGGUGAUAAGAAGAGUAGAGAUGUCAUAUUAAAAGUAAGCAUGAAGUUCUUUAGACUUUAGACAGAUAUCCAAGCCUUAGUACUUUCCUAAACUUUGGAAAUAUCUGCAGCUGCACACAGCCAAACCAAAACCAGCUGGACUUUCUUAUACAGCAGAAGGGCAAAUCUGAAGUAGUUUCACAUUUAUGACUUGCAUGAGAAAUCUUCCAGCUAAGUCUGGAGAAACACGGCCAUCUAUCUUACUAAAAAGCCUUAACCUCUUCACUCUGCUCUGUGAGGUGAUGACACUGGAGAGGUUUUGGUUACCAUCAGGUGGAACUAGUUAAAAACCACAGCAUUUCUGGUGCUGCACAGAGGCAGGAAGGGUGACUGCGUGCAGAAUGGAAAAGUCCCAUCAGCUGCAAGGGUGAUACAAACCAUCAGAAGCGCUCUAAACCCACACAGAGAAUGCUCCCUCUCUAUAUAACUUGCAUCACCUCAGAAAUACCAGAGUUAUUAAGCUAUUUCUCCUGAAUGCCAUCAUCGCACAGAAAGCACCACUACAUUUCAAGUUAAUAGAAGACGUAAACAAUGAUUAUUCUUUUCCUUCACACAAAGAAAUCAGCUUCCUUCUGUUCCAAGCAGUUAACGUUCACCUCAUGUGUGUUUUGGCACUUGGCAGUAGGUAAUUAUUGGCUGCUAUGAUGUUCUUCCCUUCUAUAAUUAAGAUAUCCUUUGAAUUGUGGACAGUUAACUUUUCUCCUGCUAAAAACUGUAAGCAAUUAGUACAUAAACUACAAGUUGACACCAACAGCUCACACAGACAAGACAAAUAAUGUCUUCCUCCUGCACUGCAGGUACUGUAACUGUACUUAAAGUCAUUUGAGACAAUGAUUUUUACAAGUUUUAAAGCCUUGAAGUGGUCAGAACGUGAAGCUGGUUCCUUCCUUCUACCGCUGCAAGUCAAGGCACUGCCCCAGUGAAUAUCAGAAGAUGCAGAUUUCUUCAAAUGAAAGUCUUUUUUCACUUCCCUUCUUCUGCACAGUUCUUCCCUUUAUUAAAUGUGGACUUGCACCCUUGAGAUGCUCAGUCUGUGUGGCACCCGAGAGAAAAAAAGAGGUUCUGGAAAAGAGAUAUGAGAAAGGGAAACUUCUCCUCGAGACUGGGAGAUCUUUUAGCAGGCCUAGGGCUGUCACAUGGUGCUCAAAUAC